Molecule: ribosomal RNA, 502 nt
Filed under: uncultured Leucobacter sp.
Lineage: Bacteria; Bacillati; Actinomycetota; Actinomycetes; Micrococcales; Microbacteriaceae
Description: bacterial SSU rRNA
Rfam family: Bacterial small subunit ribosomal RNA
Source: RNAcentral
GAGUUUGAUCCUGGCUCAGGACGAACGCUGGCGGCGUGCUUAACACAUGCAAGUCGAACGAUGAAGCCCAGCUUGCUGGGUGGAAGAGUGGCGAACGGGUGAGUAACACGUGAGUAACCUGCCCCUUACUCUGGGAUAAGCGCUGGAAACGGUGUCUAAUACUGGAUAUGACUCAUACCGGCAUCGGUUGUGAGUGGAAAGAUUUAUCGGUAAGGGAAGGGCUCGCGGCCUAUCAGGUUGUUGGUGAGGUAACGGCUCACCAAGCCUACGACGGGUAGCCGGCCUGAGAGGGUGACCGGCCACACUGGGACUGAGACACGGCCCAGACUCCUACGGGAGGCAGCAGUGGGGAAUAUUGCACAAUGGGCGCAAGCCUGAUGCAGCGACGCCGCGUGAGGGAUGACGGCCUUCGGGUUGUAAACCUCUUUCAGUAGGGAAGAAGCGAAAGUGACGGUACCUGCAGAAGAAGCGCCGGCUAACUACGUGCCAGCAGCCGCGGUAA